AGUUUGAUCCUGGCUCAGGAUGAACGCUAGCUACAGGCUUAACACAUGCAAGUCGAGGGGCAGCAUGGUCUUAGCUUGCUAAGGCUGAUGGCGACCGGCGCACGGGUGAGUAACACGUAUCCAACCUGCCGUCUACUCUUGGCCAGCCUUCUGAAAGGAAGAUUAAUCCAGGAUGGGAUCAUGAGUUCACAUGUCCGCAUGAUUAAAGGUAUUUUCCGGUAGACGAUGGGGAUGCGUUCCAUUAGAUAGUAGGCGGGGUAACGGCCCACCUAGUCAACGAUGGAUAGGGGUUCUGAGAGGAAGGUCCCCCACAUUGGAACUGAGACACGGUCCAAACUCCUACGGGAGGCAGCAGUGAGGAAUAUUGGUCAAUGGGCGAUGGCCUGAACCAGCCAAGUAGCGUGAAGGAUGACUGCCCUAUGGGUUGUAAACUUCUUUUAUAAAGGAAUAAAGUCGGGUAUGCAUACCCGUUUGCAUGUACUUUAUGAAUAAGGAUCGGCUAACUCCGUGCCAGCAGCCGCGGUAAUACGGAGGAUCCGAGCGUUAUCCGGAUUUAUUGGGUUUAAAGGGAGCGUAGAUGGAUGUUUAAGUCAGUUGUGAAAGUUUGCGGCUCAACCGUAAAAUUGCAGUUGAUACUGGAUGUCUUGAGUGCAGUUGAGGCAGGCGGAAUUCGUGGUGUAGCGGUGAAAUGCUUAGAUAUCACGAAGAACCCCGAUUGCGAAGGCAGCCUGCUAAGCUGCAACUGACAUUGAGGCUCGAAAGUGUGGGUAUCAAACAGGAUUAGAUACCCUGGUAGUCCACACGGUAAACGAUGAAUACUCGCUGUUUGCGAUAUACGGCAAGCGGCCAAGCGAAAGCGUUAAGUAUUCCACCUGGGGAGUACGCCGGCAACGGUGAAACUCAAAGGAAUUGACGGGGGCCCGCACAAGCGGAGGAACAUGUGGUUUAAUUCGAUGAUACGCGAGGAACCUUACCCGGGCUUAAAUUGCACUCGAAUGAUCCGGAAACGGUUCAGCUAGCAAUAGCGAGUGUGAAGGUGCUGCAUGGUUGUCGUCAGCUCGUGCCGUGAGGUGUCGGCUUAAGUGCCAUAACGAGCGCAACCCUUGUUGUCAGUUACUAACAGGUGAUGCUGAGGACUCUGACAAGACUGCCAUCGUAAGAUGUGAGGAAGGUGGA
RNAcentral lists this ribosomal RNA (1176 nucleotides) under uncultured Bacteroides sp. RNAcentral's name for it is "bacterial SSU rRNA". It matches the Rfam family "Bacterial small subunit ribosomal RNA", at positions 10 to 1177 of the family's 1533-position model. Lineage: Bacteria; Pseudomonadati; Bacteroidota; Bacteroidia; Bacteroidales; Bacteroidaceae. The record is from RNAcentral.